AGCCGCUCUCCCUUUUCCGCUCCCGCGGCCAUGAGGGUUUCUUUUCCGUCUGGGGCCCUGCCGUUCUACAUGUAUCAGCUAUGUUCUUCCUUCCUGUGGCUUCAGUGCAGAUCCGUCCCCAAAUGUGGAGACCUAAUACUACUUCUUUCCAAGGAUUUAAACCCUGCACUUCAGAGGGAUGCAGAAGGAACAUCAUCCCCUGGCACUGGGAGAUUGAACUAUAAGCUGUCACAAGGCUGCCCUUGACAGAUGGGCCCCAUGCCUUUUGUGUGAGAAACCAUUUCACCUGUUACUGAUGUUGGUGAAGACAAGGCCUUCCUAAUUAAAGGCUUGCAAAUGUUUCUCAUUUUGAGGUGUGAUGGAGCUGGGAAGUGAUGGAGCUGAGAGUGCUGCCAGCAAAAGGUGAUGCUUGCAUGGAGUUUGAGAGCCAAGAUAAAUGUGCCUGAGGAAGGGACUGUGCUGUGUCUGCGGCCUCACUGGGUAAGUCCACAGAACAGGUGAAUUGUACUAAAAACUUCUGGAAAUAUUUGUAGCCACUGAUGAUAUUGAUUCUGCCAAAUGAGUUCCUGUGAUAUCACCCUUUCCGUUCCACUUCUGUCUGAGGUUACAAAACUGUUUUGGAGCUUUUAGCAGUUGUGCUGCUGCAUAUGCUAACUGUGUUUUCUUGAUUUAGGUGGAGAGGCAGCUCUGAAACUAGCAUAUGAAGAAUUGAGAAGGUGAGUGUAAGAGCAGUAAUAAUGUAUUUGUUGGAACAAGUGAUGAUAACCUUAGCUUGAACUCUCUCACUGAACAGAGAUGAAAUCCUAAGGUCUGAGAUGUUCCCAUCAAGUGUGUUGUGCUGGUUUGGUACCUUAUAAUGGUUCUUCUGUCUGUCUUAAUAGGUGGAAGAUUGGAUGAAUGGGUUACACUUGCAUGAACAGCAUUAAAAAAGCCAAUGUGUUUUUACCUCACUGGUAAUGUUUGCCUGAUGUUGAUUAAAGUGAAUAAAAAUCUGUAAACUCUA
Molecule: non-coding RNA, 1003 nt
Organism: Zonotrichia albicollis (white-throated sparrow)
Lineage: Eukaryota; Metazoa; Chordata; Aves; Passeriformes; Passerellidae
Source: RefSeq, a predicted model, not a curated record